RNAcentral lists this long non-coding RNA (995 nucleotides) under Mus musculus (house mouse). Its description in RNAcentral is "predicted gene, 56990". The record is from RNAcentral. Lineage: Eukaryota; Metazoa; Chordata; Mammalia; Rodentia; Muridae.
AGACACACUAGCUCUGUUUAUGCAUGCGAACAUCAGUACCACCUUCAGCUGGGUGCUUCUUAGUCAAUGAACAUCUUCCUUGAGACAGGGUGCACAAGACAUCUUUUGUUCAGUACGAAGCUAACUAUGUUACCUUCCUGGAGGACGCCUCCCCUGCUCCCCCUAAAGGCUGGAACACCAGUAGGUUGAACGGCUCCUGUCUUGCAGCCCAUUCUUUCUAAAGUUAUGUUCUAUCGUAUCCACUUCUCAGAUCCUGAAUUGUUUGUUUCUGUAACUACUUCCACUUAAAAGUGUCCCUCCCGGUUGCCACUGUAGCAAGCACAACCCUGCUUUAAGAACUUAUUCCCACUGUGGGGAGACACAUGCUAACUGCCCACGUGACUGAACUCCCAGGGAGCAGUUUGCUCUUUUAAGUAACAUUUGUGGGAGCAUAACUGCCUGUAAGAUACAAGAUCUCCAGUGUGAAGAAGCUGGAUGUUGGGGAUGCAAGCUCUACAUCGUUACAGCACAGCCAAUGGGGAAGCUUGAAACAACACAGAUGAGUCAAAACGGCAGGACGAAGAAAAUCAACUUUGCCGCAACAGCCAGAGUGUUCUUCACAGAUGAGUCCACGGUGCUCUUCGAAGACAAAACUUAGUGUUCUGAGGCCAUGGGGAAGGGCAGCCCAGGUAGCGCUAAAGCAUCAAGUUAGAAGCAGACGGGGUACACUGACACAGUACAACUCUACGAGGCAAGGGGCGGGAGUAGAAUGUGGGCUUCCCCAGGCAAGCAUGAGGAAGCCCUGCGAGCUCACACAGGGGCAAUGGCAACAUUCUGUCCACAUUUUAUAACAAACCCUAGUAGCCACCUGGCAGACAGACCAAAAUAAUCUGAUUAGAAACAGGAGGUCUGACUAUAUUAGUAUUUUAAGAAAAUGAUUUUAAAGGCAUAUAACAUGAAGUGGUGUGGGAACAAAAUGGAAGAAAAAAAUUAAAAAUGGUAUCUAGGAAGUAAAA